CCUACGGGAGGCAGCAGUGAGGAAUAUUGGUCAAUGGACGAGAGUCUGAACCAGCCAAGUAGCGUGAAGGAUGACUGCCCUAUGGGUUGUAAACUUCUUUUAUAAAGGAAUAAAACGAGGCACGUGUGCCUGUUUGCAUGUACUUUAUGAAUAAGGAUCGGCCAACUCCGUGCCCGCAGCCGCGGUAAUACGGAGGGUCCGGGCGUUAUCCGGAUUUAUUGGGUUUAAAGGGUGCGUAGAUGGGUUGUUAAGUCAGUCGUGAAAGUUUGCGGCUCAAACGUAAAAUUGCCAUUGAUACUGGCAGUCUUGAGUACAGUUGAGGUAGGCGGAAUGCGUGGUGUAGCGGUGAAAUGCUUAGAUAUCACGAAGAACCCCGAUUGCGAAGGCAGCUUAC
This 394-nucleotide ribosomal RNA is filed under the name uncultured bacterium. RNAcentral describes it as "partial 16S ribosomal RNA". It matches the Rfam family "Bacterial small subunit ribosomal RNA", at positions 338 to 729 of the family's 1533-position model. The record is from RNAcentral.